CUGUUAGGGUCUGUUAGGGUCUGUUAGGGUCUGUUAUAUGGUCUGUGUUAGGGUCUGUUAUUAUGGUCUGUUGUUAUGGUCUGUUAUUAUGGUCUGUUAUGGUCUGUUGUUAGGGUCUGUUAUUAUGGUCUGUUGUUAAGGUCUGUUGUUAAGGUCUGUUAGGGUCUGUUAGGGUCUGUUGUUAGGGUCUGUUUUAUGGUCUGUUAGGGUCUGUUGUUAUGGUCUGUUAGGGUCUGUUGUUAGGGUCUGUUAUUAUGGUCUGUUGUUAGGGUCUGUUGUUAGGGUCUGUUAGGGUCUGUUGUUAUGGUCUGUUGUUAAGGUCUGUUAGGGUCUGUUAGGGUCUGUUGUUAAGGUCUGUUAGGGUCUGUUAGGGUCUGUUGUUAUGGUCUGUUAGGGUCUGUUAUUAUGGUCUGUUAGGGUCUGUUGUUAGGGUCUGUUAUUAUGUGAUGUUAUUAUGUGUGUGUGCGUGCGGACACACACACAAGCUAAAUAACAACAUAACAAGAUAAAUAACAUCCCAGAGUCCGGUCUAGACCUGGAGCCUGUUGCACAAAGGCAGAAUAAAGAUAUCCAGGAUGAGUGAAAAAGUGCAGCUUGACUUAGUGAGACCUGCUCAUCACGGCUUAAUCGGUUACACGUAGAUAACCAGGAUGAACAGGUGGAGCUAUGUCCAGCCAGGUGGAGAUAACCAGGAUGAACAGGUGGAGCUAUGUCCAGCCAGGUGGAGAUAACCAGGAUGAACAGGUGGAGCUAUGUCCAGCCAGGUGGAGAUAACCAGGAUGAACAGGUGGAGCUAUGUCCAGCCAGGUGGAGAUAACCAGGAUGAACAGGUGGAGCUAUGUC
Long non-coding RNA from Etheostoma spectabile (orangethroat darter), 843 nucleotides. RefSeq lists it as uncharacterized. NCBI's taxonomy places the organism in Eukaryota, Metazoa, Chordata, Actinopteri, Perciformes, Percidae. The record is from RefSeq and is a predicted model, not a curated record. The transcript has 3 exons.